RNAcentral lists this ribosomal RNA (255 nucleotides) under uncultured bacterium. Its description in RNAcentral is "partial 16S ribosomal RNA". It matches the Rfam family "Bacterial small subunit ribosomal RNA", at positions 524 to 776 of the family's 1533-position model. The record is from RNAcentral.
UACGUAGGGUGCAAGCAUUAUCCGGAGUGACUGGGCGUAAAGAGUUGCGUAGGUGGUUAGUAAAGCGAAUAGUGAAAUCUGGGGGCUCAACCUCACAGACUAUUAUUCGAACUCACUAACUCGAGAAUGGUAGAGGUAACUGGAAUUUCUAGUGUAGGAGUGAAAUCCGUAGAUAUUAGAAGGAACACCAAUGGCGUAGGCAGGUUACUGGACCAUUUCUGACACUGAGGCACGAAAGCGUGGGGAGCGAACGGG